Molecule: long non-coding RNA, 1695 nt
Filed under: Paramuricea clavata
Lineage: Eukaryota; Metazoa; Cnidaria; Anthozoa; Malacalcyonacea; Plexauridae
Source: RNAcentral
UGACUACAAAACCAAUAUGGAAGCUUUCGAACGACAAGAGUGUCAGGCUGUGAUAUUUUGUGAAAACAGCAUGUUAUUGCUUUAUUGUUGCGAUCAUCAUAUUUAUGACUUGUGUUUUAGUCUAUCAAGUUUACCUUUUUUUAAAUUGCAUGGGACGUGCUGUCAUUUUAGCUUCUUUCUAAGUUGGAUGGCGUUAAAUCUCCGUGUAUCAUCAACGUGAAAACAAGCGCAGUAUUUAAGGUUGGUAUACUACAAUGUAUUACAGUUAUCGUGUUAUUUUAUAGUCAAAUUUCCGCUUUGUUGUUUUUAUUCUUGUACUUUUAAUAUAAAUACACUGUACAAAAUUAUGGCGUCAUACUUGUGUUUACAAUGCCUCUAGUUUGACCCUAUUGUGUGUGUAUAUGUACUGUGUCACUGUGAUACAUAUGUACAUGUUUUGAGUUAAACGAAUUGUUUAAUAAAUUUUUGCUGAAGUAUGAUGCCUGUUUGUAUGGAUAGAUUUUUACAUAUAUGUGCAUACAGUAUAGUUAUAUUUUUCAAUUUUCAUCUGUAAAAUAAUAUUUGUGUGUUGUUCUAAUAUUACUGUAAAUAGUGACACACUUUUGCAUUAGAUUGCUAAUUUUAGAGAUUACAGUGUAUGUAUAAAAUAAUAAAAUAAAAAUUUUUCUUGUUAUGAUUUUGUAGAAAGAGAUCUACUUGAGUGGUUCAGUGGUUAGCUGGUCUUGAACCUGGUCAGGAUGGAUAUGGUAAUGAAGGUGAUAGGGCAGAAAGUGGUGACCAGUUAAGUGAUCAGGAUGAAAGUGACGAGGACGAAAUCACCCAUGCUGUGCCAUUCAAGUGCAUUGGUGCUGCUCAUGAGAAACAUUACCAAGAUCAUUUGUAACAGGCAUGCCUUGCUAUUCAUGGACAAGAUAAACCAGUGAAUGUAAGAAUACGGCCAAUUGAGCCAUUGAAUCCAAUGGACCCAAAUGCAAUAGCAAUUAAUGUAAACUAUGGAACUGGAUGGACACAUGUGAUGUUGGCUAUAUUAUUUGCACCCACUAAUUGCUGCAUGAGAUAUCUUAGAGGUCUAUGUUCAGCAUAUAAAGUAUAGGGUUGACUUUUUUAAAAUAGGAUUUUAUUCAAAAAUUUUCAUAAAGCGAUGUGGUGAGUGGGAGACUCAAGUGGUAAGGAGGGGCAUGAGUGUAUGUCGACAGAUGUUUGUGAUAUAAUAGUAACUGACUAGGUUUAGCAAGUUAUAGAAAUGAUGUUAUUUAAAUUGGCUAACUUUUUAGAUUUUUUCAGCAUUUUUACCUUUCACUUUAUUGCCAAACAAAAAUCAUUUAAUUUAAGUAGGUGUGUAUCUAUAAGAAAACAAUAUCUGUCAUGUGCACUUGUGCAACUCCCUCAAAAUAGCAAUAUUGCUUUUUUAUUGUGGCAUAAAUUUAUUACUAGGACACCAAUAUGGUUCUCAUUACCUAUAUCUAAACGUAAAAAAACAUGUGCUAUAAAUAAAUGCAUCUACCUAUUUCGUGACUGAAUAGAAUUUAUUUUGUCAAGCCAUGUAAUUAAUUUUGAAAUUGCUGUGACUUUAUGUAACCCUUCUGCAGGAAUUGAGCCUAAAGCACCAACCCAUCCCCAACAAUAAAAUUACAUCUUACUGUCAAUUUCAAUUUGUCUUUGAAAUCUGACCACCAAUGUUUAUUUGUAAGUUCG